Long non-coding RNA from Cyprinus carpio (common carp), 1010 nucleotides. The record is from Ensembl. NCBI's taxonomy places the organism in Eukaryota, Metazoa, Chordata, Actinopteri, Cypriniformes, Cyprinidae.
UCUAGAGAACUCCGUCAGAGUUUCAAGGCUAACAUUAGGCUUUUGUAUAUUACAUGUAUAUGAGUUUAACUCCUAGUGAUAUCAGCAAUUUCUGAUAAUACCUGGCUGACAGGAUCAUAAUACCUACAGAUUUCUCUCAGUAAGACUAAAAUGUGAACCUACCACCCUAAUCUCAAAAUUACAACAUUAUUAUUUUUUGUAUCUUUAUUUUUGUUUUAUUAAAGGGGUCAUAUGAUGCGAUUUCAAAUUUUCCUUUCUCUUUGGCGUGUUACAAGCUCUUGGUGAAUAAAGGAGAUCUGUGAAGUUGCAAAGACUAAAGUCUCAAAUCCAAAGAGAUAUUCUUUAUAAAAGUUGAGACUCGUCCACGCCCCCCUGAAAUGGCUUGUUCUGACACGCCCCCACAUAUCUACGUCAGUAUGUGGGAAGAUUUGCAUAACACCGCCCAGAUGUUCACACAAAGAAAGAAGGCAUACCUUUUAUCCUUGUUGUAGUAUUGUUGUUGCCGCUGCCGCCAUGUCGUGUAGACGCUGUGUGUUUCACUGUAAAAGCGAAACUACUUUGUUUGGCCUUCUAAAAGAGGAUGAUAUCCGCUUCGUCAUGCCUGGAGCUGGUCUGUGCUGGUCGCUGAGGAAAUACAUCAACUUUGCACUGUGGAUCGCAGAAUGGGCUUUCACUAUGGACGAAGCGGCAUCCAGCCCGGGGUCGUCACAUGUGGUUGCUGCAAGACCAAGUCAUCUGAUGGGGUCAUCACACAUCUGAGCGACAGCACCUGACUCCACAUACAAAUCAUGCCUUUGGGGCGGACAGAACACAACCACAAGUUCUGACGAUAGCUGAACACAUCAAAGAGAAAAGAAAGAGACGCCGAACCCUUUGGCGCACCGUGGCAUUUAUUUUUUAGGCAUAUCUCAGACAAUUAAUGGACACUAAGUCCUUGUUGCCUUUUGUCUGUACACAUAUCAAAUCAGCGUGUCUCGUAUCUAAAAUAAAAUAACAAUCUGAUUGUUUCA